Long non-coding RNA from Hydra vulgaris (swiftwater hydra), 567 nucleotides. RefSeq lists it as uncharacterized. The record is from RefSeq and is a predicted model, not a curated record. Lineage: Eukaryota; Metazoa; Cnidaria; Hydrozoa; Anthoathecata; Hydridae.
UCAUUUGAAUUAUAGUUAUAACAAAACAACAAUUCUGGUUUGUUUAUUGUCUCAUAAUCAAAAGGGUGGUCAGAAAAGUAUCCUUUAUAAGAAGUUAAUUUUUAUCAAAACCGUGGUCACACAAUGCUAUACAUGUAUCAUGUGGAUAUUUGAAAAACUUUAUAGAAGGUGUGUCAAUUUGUUUUAUCAACUGAUCAAAGCUUAUAUUCUUCUCAAACAUCUCAAACCGUGCGUGAAAACAAUGUUAAUUCAUUUGUGAGUUAUAAAACUGCUUGCCACCCUACUUAGAGUUUUAUCGAUAUCAGCUACCGACGCUAUUUGUGAUCACGAGUCAGUAUAAGUUUAGAGCUUUCAAUAACAAAAAUGGAAGAUAAACCAAGCGUAGCAGAAGUAGAAACAUUUGAUAAAAGUAAACUGAAAAAAACAGAAACAGUUGAAAAAAAUCCGUUGCCAACAAAAGAUGAAAUUACUGCAGAAAAGACUGCCGAAUAAUGAAGAUUCCUAUAUUAUACUAUACUUAAAAUUAUUGUAAAUCUUUCAUGGUAUAAAUAAAAAAAGCUCUAUUUA